RNAcentral lists this ribosomal RNA (253 nucleotides) under uncultured bacterium. RNAcentral describes it as "partial 16S ribosomal RNA". It matches the Rfam family "Bacterial small subunit ribosomal RNA", at positions 524 to 776 of the family's 1533-position model. The record is from RNAcentral.
UACGUAGGCAGCGAGCGUUGUUCGGAGUUACUGGGCGUAAAGCGUGCGUAGGCGGUGGUCCAAGUCUGGUGUGAAAUCUCCCGGCUUAACUGGGAGGGUGCGCCGGAAACUGGGCCGCUGGAGUACGGGAGAGGCAAGCGGAAUUCCAGGUGUAGCGGUGAAAUGCGUAGAUAUCUGGAGGAACACCCGUGGUGCAGACGGCUUGCUGGACCGUGACUGACGCUGAGGCACGAAAGCGUGGGGAGCAAACAGG